Long non-coding RNA from Tachysurus fulvidraco (yellow catfish), 2595 nucleotides. RefSeq lists it as uncharacterized. Lineage: Eukaryota; Metazoa; Chordata; Actinopteri; Siluriformes; Bagridae. The transcript has 2 exons. The record is from RefSeq and is a predicted model, not a curated record.
UAUUAUUAUUAUUAUUAUUAUUAUUAUUAUUAUUAUUAUUAUUAUUAUUGUUAUUACCAGUCCAAUCAUCUAAUAACUACAUGUGUUCAAUAAUAGAAUAAAUUGGAUGAUGAAGUCCAACAUGAGAUCCACACAGUGCUAGAAGGCACCAUGAACGAAUACAGUGAAUAUUCCAUAGAUUAAACCCGUUUACUCUCAUUUUGUUAAGUAACAGAUCUCCAUCUCCACCAACUCUGAAGGAUUUAUAACAGAAGCUUGGAACGUCAAAUAUACACUUCGGCCAAAGGUUUGUAGAACCCUGACCAUCACCUCCAUAUGGAACAUCACACCAGAUUUAUUCUCCUCUCUGUGCUUUUAUAAUCAGCUCCACUCUUCUCUUCUGAGAAGGUUUUCCACUAGACGUUGGAUCUGUUGUGUCUGUGUGGAUCAGUGUUCAUUCAGCUACAGGAGCAUCAGUGAGAUCAGACUCUGAUGUUGGGAUGUUGAGGAGACUCCAGUUCCAGUUCAUCCCAGUGGUGCCCAAAUGUUUUUCUGACUCCUGUAGAAAAGGUUCAUGGACCAUGGCAUAUAAACAUGCAUACAAGCAUACUACAACCUUUUCAACACACACACACACACACACACACACACACACACACACACACACACACACACACACAAUAAAAGUAAGUCAUUCCCCACAUGGAACAGAUUUUCCUAAAUUGCUUUUAAUUGGAUCCAUCCUUUACUCCAUGUUUGUUAUUGAUGGCAUCAAGCGUUAGUGUCCCGUGUGAAACACAACCCCAGAACCCAUGAUGCUACCACCAGCAUGCUUGAUCUCAGGUAUAGUGUUACCUGGGAGUUGGGCUGGAUUUGGCUUGUUCCAGCUUUGGCUCAACUUUAGUCUUAUCAGACCACAACAUCUUUUUCAGAUGCUCUCAGGUUGCCUUUCAUUAUGGAGAUCUAAACAGAUUCUCUUCCUCAGCUUGUUGUAGCUGGACUCUCAGACACUUCUCUAUCAGUCUCCCUUCUUACCCCAGCAAUGAAACAAAAAAACUUGUUUAUUUAAAGAAAACAAGCCUGUUCAGAUGUGGCUGUGUUUAAAUCCAUGGGUAUUAAACUCAUUGUGGGUCACCGAUCACAUUACGCUUAUAUCAGCUGUCGAGGGCCACGACAGUCGGUUUAACAGAACAGAUCAGACUCUGAGCCAAUGAAAGGUAACAGAACAUUGUACUGUUUGUGAGAGAAAGUCUCUAACGCUGUAGGGAGGCUGUAAUGUACAUAAAUAAAUGCAGGUGUAGCAAAUAUUUCACACCUCCGUUGCUGCAGAGGGCACUAUACAUAUAUAACGGACGUCAACACGUGACUUCCUGUUUACAGAAUAGAAAAUGCUUGUGUGAAGUGUUAGUGACGUAUCCUGUUUGUGUAAGGGAAACAGUUACAGCUGUUGAGACUGAGGGAGACGCAGCAGACCGGCGGGUAGAGAUGCUAACAGAUUUCCCUCUACGUUUAAAUAACGCAGUGACCUACACACACACACACACACACACACACACAGACACACACACAAUGAGAGUGUUCACUUCAACAGAUAUAAAUAACAUUAUCACUUAACUGCAAUCUGUUAUUAUCAGUAUUAUUAAUGAACUGUAUUUCUCUCAUUAGCUACAGCGACGCUGAAUGGACACUCACUGGCCAUUUUAUUAGAAACACCUUCCACAAUGGCCACUUUGUAGGUAAACAAACAGCACAGUGUGUGUGUGUGUGUGUGUGUGUGUGUGUGUGUGUGUGUGUGUGUGUGUGUGUGUGUGUGUGCACGUAUGAGUGUGUGUUUGUGCAUGUGUGUGUACCCGUGUUGUACCUGUGCUGCAGUCAGUAAUUGACGUGUGUUGAAAUACAUAGAUUAGGUUCUAACUGAACACCAAAAAUAAACUAGAUUAGUGUUGGUUGUGUAACAAAAGGUUUGUUGUGUCGAGACUGAGAGUGUCUCUUUUUAACCUGAGGCUCAUGAUCUUGUUGCUCAAGUGACCAAUGAGGUUGUGUGAGACAUCCAGGUGCUGCAGAGAGGAAAGAUUGUAUAACCUACUGUACAACACACAGAGGCAUGAAAUAAACAGGUUUGGGUAGGUGUGAUAUCAGUAACACAACACCAGUGUCUGUUUUAGUUGUUUCCGCUUGGGGAAGUGCAGUUACCACCUAACAUGAUCUGCUCAUAAUUUACCUUACCACGCAUUCUCACAUCCUAAUGUCACUCUGACGGAAGGUAACACUUUUGUAACAUCGAUGAGUUUAACACUUCACUUAUGUGUGUGUGUGUGUGUGUGUGUGUGUGUGUUAUUUACUGAAAAGGCAGAGCAGUGAGCUUGCAGAACGAGACCACCAGGGUCUUUAGGUUGAUCAGCUUCUCGAUCUCAGCUGGGAUUUCAACAAUUGGGUUUCCUCUUAACUUCAGUACCUCCAGUUUAUUGAGCUCACACAGCUGAUACGGCCGCACGGAGCGGAGAGCAUUGUAUUAAAAUAAAAAAUAAAAAAUUUUAAAAAAAUUACCAAAAAAAAACCCACGGAGACCAGAAUUAGAAGACAGACUGCAGAAAUAAAGCUCAUUAAAAAAAGAAA